RNAcentral lists this ribosomal RNA (464 nucleotides) under Vreelandella stevensii. Its description in RNAcentral is "partial 16S ribosomal RNA". It matches the Rfam family "Bacterial small subunit ribosomal RNA", at positions 338 to 795 of the family's 1533-position model. The record is from RNAcentral. Lineage: Bacteria; Pseudomonadati; Pseudomonadota; Gammaproteobacteria; Oceanospirillales; Halomonadaceae.
CCUACGGGGGCUGCAGUGGGGAAUAUUGGACAAUGGGGGGAACCCUGAUCCAGCCAUGCCGCGUGUGUGAAGAAGGCCCUCGGGUUGUAAAGCACUUUCAGUGAGGAAGAACGCCUGGUGGUUAAUACCCAUCAGGAAAGACAUCACUCACAGAAGAAGCACCGGCUAACUCCGUGCCAGCAGCCGCGGUAAUACGGAGGGUGCGAGCGUUAAUCGGAAUUACUGGGCGUAAAGCGCGCGUAGGUGGCUUGAUAAGCCGGUUGUGAAAGCCCCGGGCUCAACCUGGGAACGGCAUCCGGAACUGUCAAGCUAGAGUGCAGGAGAGGAAGGUAGAAUUCCCGGUGUAGCGGUGAAAUGCGUAGAGAUCGGGAGGAAUACCAGUGGCGAAGGCGGCCUUCUGGACUGACACUGACACUGAGGUGCGAAAGCGUGGGUAGCAAACAGGAUUAGAUACCCGAGUAGUC